RNAcentral lists this ribosomal RNA (283 nucleotides) under uncultured prokaryote. Its description in RNAcentral is "partial 16S ribosomal RNA". It matches the Rfam family "Bacterial small subunit ribosomal RNA", at positions 524 to 817 of the family's 1533-position model. The record is from RNAcentral.
UACGUAGGGGGCGAGCGUUGUCCGGAAUUACUGGGCGUAAAGGGUGCGUAGGUGGUUUCUUAAGUCAGAGGUGAAAGGCUACGGCUCAACCGUAGUAAGCCUUUGAAACUGGGAAACUUGAGUGCAGGAGAGGAGAGUGGAAUUCCUAGUGUAGCGGUGAAAUGCGUAGAUAUUAGGAGGAACACCAGUUGCGAAGGCGGCUCUCUGGACUGUAACUGACACUGAGGCACGAAAGCGUGGGGAGCAAACAGGAUUAGAUACCCGGGUAGUCCCUGAGCGGGCU